GUGCCAGCAGCCGCGGUAAUACCGGCAGCCCGAGUGAUGGCCGAUCUUAUUGGGCCUAAAGCGUCCGUAGCUGGCUGCGCAAGUCCGUCGGGAAAUCCACUCGCCCAACGAGUGGGCGUCCGACGGAAACUGCACAGCUUGGGACCGGAAGGCUCGAAGGGUACGUUCGGGGUAGGAGUGAAAUCCUGUAAUCCUGGACGGACCGCCGGUGGCGAAAGCACUCUGAGAAGACGGCUUCGACAGUGAGGGACGAAAGCUCGGGUCUCAAACCGGAUUAGAUACCCGAGUAGUCC
This 293-nucleotide ribosomal RNA is filed under the name uncultured bacterium. Its description in RNAcentral is "partial 16S ribosomal RNA". It matches the Rfam family "Archaeal small subunit ribosomal RNA", at positions 455 to 747 of the family's 1478-position model. The record is from RNAcentral.